Molecule: ribosomal RNA, 439 nt
Filed under: uncultured bacterium
Lineage: Bacteria
Description: bacterial SSU rRNA
Rfam family: Bacterial small subunit ribosomal RNA
Source: RNAcentral
ACGCGUGGAACCUUACCAGGUCUUGACAUCCUCUGACACUCCUAGAGAUAGGACGUUCCCCUUCGGGGGACAGAGUGACAGGUGGUGCAUGGUUGUCGUCAGCUCGUGUCGUGAGAUGUUGGGUUAAGUCCCGCAACGAGCGCAACCCUUGAUCUUAGUUGCCAGCAUUUAGUUGGGCACUCUAAGGUGACUGCCGGUGACAAACCGGAGGAAGGUGGGGAUGACGUCAAAUCAUCAUGCCCCUUAUGACCUGGGCUACACACGUGCUACAAUGGAUGGUACAAAGGGCAGCAAAGCCGCGAGGCCGAGCAAAUCCCAUAAAACCAUUCUCAGUUCGGAUUGUAGGCUGCAACUCGCCUACAUGAAGCUGGAAUCGCUAGUAAUCGCGGAUCAGCAUGCCGCGGUGAAUACGUUCCCGGGCCUUGCACUCACCGCCCGU